Molecule: long non-coding RNA, 405 nt
Filed under: Ictidomys tridecemlineatus (thirteen-lined ground squirrel)
Lineage: Eukaryota; Metazoa; Chordata; Mammalia; Rodentia; Sciuridae
Description: lncRNA (ENSSTOG00000029678.1)
Source: RNAcentral
CACUGAAAGGUCCAGCCUCCAAAAUCCCCCAGAACAGGAGGUCAUGGUAUAAAAAAAAUCAUCCUCACUUGGCUGGUCCCUCUCCUUCUCUGGCCAGCCCAGGACCUCCGCCUCCCCCAUCGACAGCCUGGAAUGGAGGCAUCGCACAGGCCUCUGACACACAUCUGGUCUCAAGUCUGCCUUGGAAAGGCAAGUUCUGGAAAAGGAGGUGGAACAGCAUGUUGGGGCCAUCCAAGGCCAUUCUGGGGCCAGCCAAAAGGCAGGCUGCAAUUUGGAGCCCUGGCUUAAUCAAAUCCUCACUAACCCAUUCCACUAAUUCAGAAUCUGUCAGUUUUGACAUUGGCUACGCUCAAGUUGCUAUUAUAGAGUCCAUGAAAUAAAGAGUUUCUUAAGCCAAUGAAUAGA